UGGCCGAGUGAUUUGUCUGGCUAAUACCGUUGACGAACGAGACAUUGACCUGCUAACUAGCGUCACACUGCUGCUGUAGUGUGAAAGACUUCCUAGAGGAACUUUGUGUGCCCAGCAUGAGGAACUUUGAGGCAAUAGCA
RNAcentral lists this ribosomal RNA (140 nucleotides) under uncultured eukaryote. RNAcentral describes it as "partial 18S ribosomal RNA". The record is from RNAcentral.